This 72-nucleotide transfer RNA is filed under the name Haliotis rufescens (red abalone). RNAcentral's name for it is "tRNA-Glu". It matches the Rfam family "tRNA". Rfam says of the family: Transfer RNA (tRNA) molecules are approximately 80 nucleotides in length. Their secondary structure includes four short double-helical elements and three loops (D, anti-codon, and T loops). Lineage: Eukaryota; Metazoa; Mollusca; Gastropoda; Lepetellida; Haliotidae. The record is from RNAcentral.
UCCCAGGUGGUCUAGUGGUUAGGAUUUGGCGCUCUCACCGCCACCGCCGGGGUUCGAUUCCCCGUCUGGGAA